RNAcentral lists this ribosomal RNA (253 nucleotides) under uncultured bacterium. RNAcentral describes it as "partial 16S ribosomal RNA". It matches the Rfam family "Bacterial small subunit ribosomal RNA", at positions 524 to 776 of the family's 1533-position model. The record is from RNAcentral.
CACGUAGGGCGCAAGCGUUGUCCGGAAUUAUUGGGCGUAAAGGGCGCGUAGGCGGACUUGUUUGUCAGGCGUGAAAGCCCUGGGCUCAACCUGGGAGGUGCGUUUGGGACGGCAAGGCUAGAGUUCGGGAGAGGAGAGUGGAAUUCCCAGUGUAGAGGUGAAAUUCGUAGAUAUUGGGAAGAACACCAGUGGCGAAGGCGGCUCUCUGGACCGAGACUGACGCUGAGGUGCGAAAGCGUGGGGAGCAAACAGG